Molecule: small nucleolar RNA, 70 nt
Filed under: Columba livia (rock pigeon)
Lineage: Eukaryota; Metazoa; Chordata; Aves; Columbiformes; Columbidae
Also listed under: 1 other name
Description: Small nucleolar RNA SNORD58
Rfam family: Small nucleolar RNA SNORD58
About the family: snoRNA U58 is found in introns 1, 3 and 6 of the ribosomal protein RPL17 gene in humans. U58 is a member of the C/D class of snoRNA which contain C (UGAUGA) and D (CUGA) box motifs.
Source: Rfam by way of RNAcentral
CUGCUGUGAUGACUCUCUUAGGACACCUUUGGAUUUAAUUGUGAAAAAAAAAGCGUAAUUUCUGAGCAGC